GUCACAUGUGCGAAUAAAAACAAAUCAGAUGAAUGUUUUUUCCUGUAAAUACGGCGGUGAAGUUAGUUUCAGGUUGGAUAUAUUCUCCUGUAAAUACGGCGGUGCAGUUAGUUUUAGGUUGGAUAUAUUUUCCUGUAAAUACGGUGAAGUUAGUUUCAGGUUGGAUAUAUUUUCCUGUAAAUACGGCGGUGAAGUUAGUUUUAGGUUGGAUAUAUUUUCCUGUAAAUACGGCGGUGAAGUUAGUUUUAGGUUGGAUAUAUUUUCCUGUAAAUACGGUGAAGUUAGUUUCAGGUUGGAUAUAUUUUCCUGUAAAUACGGCGGUGAAGUUAGUUUCAGGUUGGAUAUAUAUUCCUGUAAAUACGGUGAAGUUAGUUUCAGGUUGGAUAUAUAUUCCUGUAAAUACGGCGGUGAAGUUAGUUUUAGGUUGGAUAUAUUCUCCUGUAAAUACGGCGGUGAAGUUAGUUUUAGGUUGGAUAUAUUUUCCUGUAAAUACAGCGGUGAAGUUAGUUUUAGGUUGGAUAUAUUUUCCUGUAAAUACGGCGGUGAAGUUAGUUUCAGGUUGGAUAUAUUUUCCUGUAAAUACGGCGGUGAAGUUAGUUUCAGGUUGGAUAUCUGACGGACAUUCUCUGAGGAUCUACCGGUGUCUUCUCACUCUCCAUAACCGGGAAUAACAACAGCAGCGCGGUUAAAUCUACUCGACACCCUCACUGUCAACGUUGGUGUUGAAUAAGGGACCGUCAAUAAAUUACCGGUUGAUGUUCUCAGAAAAGGCUGUUUUCCUUCAAUAGCUUCACUGUCAUGUGACCAAAAGACCUAAAAUUGAUUUCUAAUAAUAGCAGAUAUGUCGACCAAUAAGACAAACAUUAUUCGAUCAAUUUUCAUUUUGCCCCUUAAGUUCUUUGUGAGCUCCUUGUGAAAAAAUUUAACACUGACACUGUAUAAAUACUGUGAGAGCUGACGGUCCAAAUCAUGUUUUUAGUGUGGAUAAAAGUGAGAGUGGAUAAAAACGCUCUCUCUCUCUCUCUCUCUCUGCUCGGUCAGAGUCGUUUUCUUGCUGUUCUGGGUUCACGGACAAACCUAUUAAAAAGGAAAUCGCCCGCUCUACCUUUGGACAAUUAUUCAAUUCUAAUAAGCUGCUGCUCCACACUCCUCAGUAAUAACAUCAUUUCCUGCUCUUCACUAACUCUUCAUGCAUUUAGCUCUGCCUCAGGCUCCUCUCUGCAUUUAGAUUAAACCCCUUUCUUCCUCUUUUUGUCCUCCUGUCUCGCUGAGGCCACGCCAUCAUCCUCUCUUCUUCUGCUCCGUCUUUCUACCGUUUUACUCUCUGGGGUUUCUUCCUGUCACGGCCGACACUCGUUCCCUCUUCUUCAACCUCCCGCUGACAGCGGCUGAGCUGAUCUGAACAAACUUUUUCUACUGCUGUGUAAACAUCCAUUACUGACCGCGGAGAGAGAGAAAAAGAGAGAGACAGAGGUGAGACGCUUCGGGAAGUGUUGGACUGACAAAACAACGAUUCCAGUGAAAGCUUUGACCUCAAUUCCACUUCAGGUGAGGAUCUCUGAGCAGCCGUCAGCUCCCGUUACUAAAACUCUGAGCACCACACUUUCCAAGAAUAGAAACACAGCAGAGAGGAGAUCAUCCAGUCGGCAACAUGCUGGAUUUUUUACCACCAGUAUCCAAAUCUAGAAGAAGUGUGGCUCAGUAAAAAUGAGGAUUUCCUGCUGUUCUCUACUUCAGUAAGGUUACGGUUCAAUGUGGCGCCGACCUACAGUCGUUAUCGACCGAUAUCUGUUCUUUAAUCGUCAAUACUGAUUAUGACGGAGAGUCGAUAUAUAAGACUGAUUAUUCACCGCACAUGACCCUCUAACUUGAUUGGUUAUCAUGUU
Molecule: non-coding RNA, 1886 nt
Organism: Xyrichtys novacula (pearly razorfish)
Lineage: Eukaryota; Metazoa; Chordata; Actinopteri; Labriformes; Labridae
Source: the annotation of a GenBank genome assembly